GGAUUGUGGCUCAGAGGUAGAGCGCUCGCCUAGCACGCAUGAGGCACUGGGUUUGUUCCCCAACACCA
This 68-nucleotide transfer RNA is filed under the name Marmota monax (woodchuck). Its description in RNAcentral is "tRNA.Ala". The record is from RNAcentral. Lineage: Eukaryota; Metazoa; Chordata; Mammalia; Rodentia; Sciuridae.